CCCUCCUCCCCGCAGCAGUGGGGAAUAUUGGGCAAUGGGCGCAAGCCUGACCCAGCAACGCCGCGUGAAGGAAGAAGGCUUUCGGGUUGUAAACUUCUUUUAAGAGGGAAGAGAAGAAGACGGUACCUCUUGAAUAAGCAUCGGCUAACUCAGUGCUCGCAGCCGCGGUAAUACGGAGGAUGCGAGCGUUAUCCGGAUUUAUUGGGUUUAAAGGGUGCGUAGGCGGAUUUUUAAGUCAGCGGUAAAAUGUCCGGGCUCAACCCGGGCCGGCCGUUGAAACUGGGGAUCUUGAGUGGGCGAGAAGG
This 305-nucleotide ribosomal RNA is filed under the name uncultured bacterium. RNAcentral describes it as "bacterial SSU rRNA". It matches the Rfam family "Bacterial small subunit ribosomal RNA", at positions 330 to 658 of the family's 1533-position model. The record is from RNAcentral.